Molecule: ribosomal RNA, 253 nt
Filed under: uncultured bacterium
Lineage: Bacteria
Description: partial 16S ribosomal RNA
Rfam family: Bacterial small subunit ribosomal RNA
Source: RNAcentral
UACGUAGGGCGCAAGCGUUAUCCGGAAUUAUUGGGCGUAAAGAGCUCGUAGGCGGUUUGUCGCGUCUGCCGUGAAAGUCCGGGGCUCAACUCCGGAUCUGCGGUGGGUACGGGCAGACUAGAGUGAUGUAGGGGAGACUGGAAUUCCUGGUGUAGCGGUGAAAUGCGCAGAUAUCAGGAGGAACACCGAUGGCGAAGGCAGGUCUCUGGGCCAUUACUGACGCUGAGGAGCGAAAGCGUGGGGAGCGAACAGG